CGGCCGCGGUAUUUUGACCGUGCAAAGGUAGCGCAAUCACUUGUCUUUUAAAUAGAGACCUGUAUGAAUGGCUAAACGAGGGCUUAACUGUCUCCCCUUUCAAGUCAGUGAAAUUGAUCUACCCGUGCAGAAGCGGGUAUAAUACUACAAGACGAGAAGACCCUUUGGAGCUUAAGGUACAAAACUCAACCACGUUAAGCAACUCAAUAAAAAGCAAAAACCUUGUGGACCAUGAGAUUUUACCUUCGGUUGGGGCGACCACGGAGGAAAGAAAAGCCUCCAGGUGGACUGGGAAAACCUCCUAAAACCAAGAGAGACAUCUCUAAGCCACAGAACAUCUGACCAAAUAUGAUCCGGCUAACACAUAGCCGAUCAACGAACCAAGUUACCCUAGGGAUAACAGCGCAAUCCUCUCCCAGAGUCCAUAUCGACGAGGGGGUUUACGACCUCGAUGUUGGAUCAGGACAUCCUAAUGGUGCAGCCGCUAUUAAGGGUU
Molecule: ribosomal RNA, 496 nt
Filed under: Cyprinus melanes
Lineage: Eukaryota; Metazoa; Chordata; Actinopteri; Cypriniformes; Cyprinidae
Description: partial 16S ribosomal RNA
Rfam family: Bacterial large subunit ribosomal RNA
Source: RNAcentral